This 573-nucleotide long non-coding RNA is filed under the name Zonotrichia albicollis (white-throated sparrow). RNAcentral's name for it is "lncRNA (ENSZALG00000005700.1)". Lineage: Eukaryota; Metazoa; Chordata; Aves; Passeriformes; Passerellidae. The record is from RNAcentral.
GUCCCAGUUUACCCUGAUUGUCCUGAUUUUGUAUUUUUUUCUGUAUUCAACAACUUUCCAUUGGAUGUUGAAGUGGUCUGACACAGCCACACUGCCAUGACAGAUGGGAUGGAUGAAUGGGUGGACAGAGGAAAAGUGAAGAAUCUGGAACCAUCACACAUCAGCACUUGCUGAAAGCCCUGGAUGUAUUCCCACUGCUUUCUCCCCCAUUCCUGUGGAAGAGCAGAAUGGAUAGCACAUCCAGCCUUCAGGUGGCUGCUAAUAUGACAUGUACAACUUCAGACAUUUAUGUGAGCACCCAGAAUAACAGGACAGAGUUGGCCACAACCUGAGGUCAUCUUGCCUAUCAACCACCUAACCACUGCCCUGCAGGUCCAGAUAAAAAUCCUGCUACUCCCUCUGUGAUAUGAGAGGAGUCCCAAAGCAUAAUCUCCAGUGCAGUCUCAUGGACAUUGCUUUUGACAUCAUCAUCAAGAUCCUGGACUGGUGAGUGAGAUGAGGGGAGACGGGGGUCUCUCCUCACACAUUCCUGCUCUGAGCCACAGCUGACUGCCUGAGCACUGCCCAGGGAAG